AAACGUUCGUAGUUGAAUUUGUGUUCCACGUGGACAUUCAAAUACCUAUAAUGGUGUUCGUUUGUCUUCAUUGUGCGAACGUAUUGGCGGUUGGCAAUGUUAUUACUUAAAUUAACUUAUAUAUAUGUAUUUAUUAUGUAUGUAUAGGCAUUUUUGUGAUGCUUGCUGUUUUUCAAAUGUUUAUUUAUAUAUUAAUAUAUUUAUCAUUUUGAAAACCUAUAACAGUGCUCUUAAUCGAGUGUUGUUGUGGGCCGCCACAAUUACUUUGAACAAAUUAGAGUGCUUAAAGCAGGCUAAUAACGCCUGAAUAUUUUGUGCAUGGAAUAAUGGAAUAGGACCUCUGUUCUAUUUUUAUUUUAUAUUGGUUUUUAGACCAAGAGGUAAUGAUUAAUAGAAGCAGUUGGGGGCAUUAGUACUACGACGCUAGAGGUGAAAUUCUUAGACCGUCGUAAGACUUACAAAAGCGAAAGCAUUUGCCAAGGAUGUUUUCAUUAAUCAAGAACGAAAGUUAGAGGUUCGAAGGCGAUCAGAUACCGCCCUAGUUCUAACCAUAAACGAUGUCAGCUAAUGAUUGAGUGAAGCUCCUCCGAUGGCUCUCUCAGUUGCUCUCGGGAAACCAAAGCUUUUGGGCUCCGGGGGAAGUAUGGUUGCAAAGCUGAAACU
This 663-nucleotide ribosomal RNA is filed under the name Liponeura sp. CAK238. Its description in RNAcentral is "SSU rRNA". It matches the Rfam family "Eukaryotic small subunit ribosomal RNA", at positions 622 to 1144 of the family's 1831-position model. The record is from RNAcentral. Lineage: Eukaryota; Metazoa; Arthropoda; Insecta; Diptera; Blephariceridae.